UACGAGGGGGGCUAGCGUUGCUCGGAAUCACUGGGCGUAAAGCGCACGUAGGCGGAUCUUUAAGUCAGGGGUGAAAUCCUGGAGCUCAACUCCAGAACUGCCUUUGAUACUGGGGAUCUCGAGUCCGGGAGAGGUGAGUGGAACUGCGAGUGUAGAGGUGAAAUUCGUAGAUAUUCGCAAGAACACCAGUGGCGAAGGCGGCUCACUGGCCCGGUACUGACGCUGAGGUGCGAAAGCGUGGGGAGCAAACAGG
RNAcentral lists this ribosomal RNA (253 nucleotides) under uncultured bacterium. RNAcentral describes it as "partial 16S ribosomal RNA". It matches the Rfam family "Bacterial small subunit ribosomal RNA", at positions 524 to 776 of the family's 1533-position model. The record is from RNAcentral.